Molecule: unclassified non-coding RNA, 171 nt
Organism: Carlito syrichta (Philippine tarsier)
Lineage: Eukaryota; Metazoa; Chordata; Mammalia; Primates; Tarsiidae
Source: Ensembl
CAGCUUUGGUUGCUUUCAAAAUCUCUCUUAGUUCUUGGACAACAGUAUUAGCAAAGUGUAACAAAAUUAUCAAAGCAUGGAGACGUGCUGGUUUAACUUUUGUACAAUAGCAUCUUUACCCGAGGCUGAAUGUUGAGAGCACCAAGAAAACUUUGCUUGUCUGAAGGAAUG